Molecule: long non-coding RNA, 9901 nt
Filed under: Citrus x clementina
Lineage: Eukaryota; Viridiplantae; Streptophyta; Magnoliopsida; Sapindales; Rutaceae
Description: Citrus clementina (C. clementina) long non-coding RNA (CCLE_LNC005778)
Source: RNAcentral
CCACGCAGUGCCUCUGGUUCCGCACGUGCUAUGUACUCAAAUGAUUCUGCCAACAACUGAGACCUAUCAAUAAGCAUCUCAUGCAGCUCCUCAUAGUCUUCCUUUACAUCGGGAAACAUCAUCAUGACCAGAAACUUCCUGGAAUCAAAAGUAGUCACGUCCUUAUGCUCAAGAAGCCACCUAUUAUCAUCACUUCUCCUUGCAUAUCUAAGAAUCAGAUCACCCAAUGGUGAUUUUCUAUUCCUCAGAAGUUUCCAGAACUCUUCUUCAGCGCCCUGAAAGAGUUUAGAUGUGGCAUGUAAUUCUCUCAAAAUCGUCAGAUACUGCGACCAUCCAGAAUAAUUAAUUUCACCUUCCCCAUUUGCUCUUGCAAUCACGCGUUCCUGCACUCUAACAAGGCAUUUAUCCAUUUUUAUCAACAAAUCACAGAACAUUCCAUAAAUAGAAUCCAGCUGAUCCCCAUGCAACCGAUCAUGUUCCUGCUGCGGCAAAGGCAUUGUAAUCGGAAUGGAAAACCCCACUUGACCCAAAAUCGCCCUGCGCAGAGGGUGCAAGAAGGCGGUAAAAUCACGAACAUCGCUGACCAAUGGCCCCACGCUCAGCACCAUCUCCAUACUGGAAUUCAAAUCCCUAGAUAUCCUACCAGCCAACUCACGAACAAAAGGAAAUAUCUCCCGUAUCACAUCCAAACCCCUAAUCUCAUCAUAUUUGGAGCCUCCUGGCAAAAUGCCAGAGCCACCAUAAUUCUCCAGCAAGGAACCCAAAGUACUCCGGCAAGCUAAAUAUAAAGUGUCCUCGGGGGUAAACUUCCUAAGCAGUUUACAAAACUCUAAGACGAUGGGGGCGCACUGAGCAUGCAAGUGCUUAGGUAAAGCGUUUUUAGUGGAGUUCAAAAAAUGUCUAAUUGAACUAUCAGCGCAAUCUUUGUUACCAUGGAGAGAAGAAAUGUAGAGCAUUACCAAAGCCGCGGGAGCGGAUGAUGACAUGAGAAUUUGGAUGUGAUCAAGUGCAGAUUCAGAUUCAACUUCAUCUUUAGGAGUCAUGGUAAAAAACUCAGUCAUUCUAGAUUUGAUGUGUUUUAAAGAAUGAGGUAGCGUUUCACCUUUGCAUAAGCGGCAAAUAAGGGAAACCAUGUCGUCAAUGACUUGCCAGGCCUGAGGAUGUCCCGUGCUUCGCAUGCGGCCAACCAGUUGUAGGCCGGCGUCGUUUUGGAUGCAACACUCAGCUAAGGACUGUUCCCACUGUAACUGCUUCCCCCGGUAAAUUAACCGUUGCUCGAUCAACGGUAUCCCCGUCAUCGCUUGGAUUCUUUCAUGGAUUGACUUGACGGUGUCGUUCGAGUCGGCUUGGAUGACCAUCGUCUUCCCCUCAGACAUCAUGCGUAUAAAAAACUGGAGCCUUGGCCGAGGAGGAGGAGGAGCAGCGGCAGCGGCAGGAGGAGUAAUUUCUGAGAGUACGGCGUCGUUUUUUGUCAUCAAGUCUGACGACUGCUGGUGGUGGACGGCGUCAGGUUCGUCUUUCCGCAUUCUUACAGAAACAAGGUCAGAUGUUUCUGCGCCGUCGUCAUCGUCGCCGUCUAAGUUAGGGGCAAAAUCGUCCAACUUACGUUUCGGACGCGAGUGAACGGAGAAGUGAGAGUGAUCAAACGAUUCAACAGGAGACAUUGAAGAGUGGGGCCCCCGCCGCUUACGGUGGGGGUAAGAGCAUGUGAUCGUUAAAUGCCGCGGCAGCAGCUGAAGGAGAAGAUAACUAUUAAAUUGAAAACCCAAAAAUAGAAAUUAGAAAAACAAGAACCCUAGCAGCUAAUAAGUAGUAAAGCAGUUUUCAUUUUUAUUUUUUUAUUUUUUUGGCUCGGUCAGUGAGUCUGUAUCAGUCUUUGUGUAUAUAGUAAAUUUGAGGAAAAAAAAAGAAAAAGAAAAAAGAAAAUAGAUGGUAUUAUGAUUUGUUUGUUCUUGAUGAACACGAAGAGCGAUUGCGAGUGAAAUUGAUGAGAAUUUUUAGCUGUGAGACUUACACAUACCCCUUCACAACACCACAGCCGUCACCACCGAACACUGGCAUCUUACGCUAUUAUAAAUAUUUUAUUCCAAUUUUUAUAACUAAAUUAAACCCCAAAAAAAAUAAAAAAUAAAAAAAGUUUACAGCCCUCAGCCCUGCUUCUGUGUGCGCGCUCACAUCACAUGAGAUUCUCGUGACACUCCCACGCCAUGCAUUUUAACCACGUGUUUGAAAUCGCGUUUAUGGGGAAAAGAUUUAUGGGAGAUUCCUUCUUUAUUAGCCGGAUCAUCAAUCGAUUUUAAUUAAACAAACAUUCUAAACCUGCUCCUUAAGUUUCCUUAAUUAAAGGAUGAGCGCUUAACUUCUAUUGAUUUUAUUAUUUUAGAAGAAAUUACUACCUUUUUUUUUUUAAUGAGUUAUUAAACCAAAGAAAUAUAAUAAAAAAAAUUCAAAACUUUUUAGUGAAUUGUCACAACUUUUAAUCUAAUCAAUUAUUAUAUUUAAGGCUAUAAGUCUAGUGUGACUCUUAAUUUACAUAUUUUUUUUUCUCUCUACAUGAAAACGGAAAAAGGAAAAAAAAAAAAAAACUGUAAGCUGUUACGGUUUUGAAGUAAAAUAUAAUAUGUUCAUAGUUGAAAUGUUCAAACCAUGAGGAAACUCAAACUAAUGUCAAUAUCUUUCAUCUUCUAUGGAGUACUCUAUCAUAUGGCAUCGGAAUGAGUCCUAAACGAAUUUAUGUUUGUAAAUUCUUUUUAUUUUUGUAGCAAAUCGAAUUAUAUUUGAAAAGGGGAUUGUUCUGGGAUGUUAUCCGAUAGCGUGAAAAGGAUUAUCGUGUAACAUCAGAUCGACAGCUUUGCAAGUCAACUCACAACUCACAAACAAUUGGCCAAUUUCUAUUUGGAAACUUUUAUGCCUUUUCUGCGUUACUUACUAUUCUAGUUCCCAAAUUGAGUCAUGAUGAUGGCUAUAUAUUAAUACGAUCAUCGAUCGAUGUUGAUGAAAUCUUGAUUGAUGAUUUCGGCCCCGUAAUUUAUUACAGCUGAGUCAGUCAACUGACAAUGAAUGAAAUUGUCGAUGGAUGAUUGACGACCUAUAUUAUAUGCAUUUGCUUUUAAUUUUUAUGUAUGGGAAAAUCCAAAUCCAACCACGCGCGUGACGCGUGCCGCGUGCCAAUAUUUCGGUUCAUUUUCCGUAAAUAUCCGCCGACUUUUGUACAUUUACAUAGUAGUAGUAAUUAAUAAAGGCGGGAUAAAAUUACGAUUAAAACUUUUAAUCGGUUGUUUACACCACGGAUCGAUUAGAUAGAUUAAUUAAUUGGAUUUUUCAGAUAUGCGAUUUAUAUUAAUGCUUGCUUAUCCGUUCAGUUGGUUUUCGGUGAGUGACUAUCCUUCAUUGACAUUCCAUUCCCAUGUAAGUACUCAAAACAACAAACAAACUGUCAAUUUUUUAAUAGAGCAGACAAAUGGGCCGGUAUGUGAUUAGCUCGGCCCUUAUCUGGGGCCCUACGUACUUAGGCCCGCAACCUAAGAAUUUAAAACACAAGGAGAAGCUGAAGCAGAAGAUGGCGGCUUUUCAUUUCAGUUGUGAUUUUCUGAGAGGUGUAUUUAAGCAACACUACAGUGAGUGAAUCAUUGAUGACGAAAUUAGAGCGGCGUCACUCACGAAGAUAUAACGGUAUAUAAAGCCCGGGUCAAAGCCCCGAAAAAUUAGUAAAACGACGCCGUUUCGACAGUAACAAUUCUUUUCCUUUUCCUUUGCCUGUCUCUUUCAUCUGCUGUUUCUCUAUCACUUUUCAUUUUUGGUUUCCUUACUUCCCAGUUGUCCCUUAACUGUUAUUCUAACAAUAUACUUUCUCAUAUUUGAAUUUUCAUCAUUGAGUACUUUUACAGCCAUAAUUUUAUCAUUGUAGACUUCACUUGGAAUGCUGUCUUUUUUCCAUUCUUGAACUACUUCAAUUACAUCUUCCAGUAUAUGAUCCUCAUCUUCCUGUAUUUCAUCAUCUUAUGAGGUAACAAAUGGAUUCCACAACUCAUCUACUUUUAAGCAAUAACAUAUUAUACCUUGGUCAAAGAUCUUAUCCCCUUAAAAAGAUGAGCUUCAACAUACAAAACGAAACAUAUAUGUUUAAUAUCAAAUUUAAACCCUUCAAUCACUGCCACAAACCCAUAUCACAAAAUUCACGGAUAAUGAUAAAGAGCCAAAAAAUUUAAAAAUCUCUAUAGAUCACACAUCAACCAAGAUAUCAUGUUUUUUUUCCUCAUUCGGUGGUGAUUGAUUAUCAUUGUGUUGAUGGAUAUGGUAUAAAAUUUUUGACCAAAUUUCAAACAAACACAAACACAAUCAAGACUAGAGUUGUGGGUGAUUAUCUCCGGUGUACAAAUGAAACGAUGGUGGCUGUCGGUGGUGGCAGUGGGGUGGUUGGGUAUGCGUGAAGGCUUGAUUUGAGGACACUAAUGGCUGGAGUUGACCUCAAUCAACGAAGGAAAGGGAAAACAAUUUUGGCAUCAAACGGUGCGUUUUUUUACUUAGUAAAACGGAGCCGUUUUAAAUUCGGGGUUUGACCCGGGAUUUAACUCGGGUCAAGUAGCAUUUUGCUAAAGUCAAUAUAUAUAUAUAUAUGUAUCAUCAUCGUUAUUUGUGCUUUGUUUAUUAUUAUCAACAGAAACAAACAACUGAAGAAAUUUAAUUCAAAAACUUAAAUUUACUAGCAAUAUUACUUACUAAGUAGCAACGACGGGAGAAUAUUAUUACGGUGAAACCAAGCUUUCAACAAAGGUGGUAACAGAAAACCAUCUUGGGGCUCUUUGGAUUUUGAAAUCCGUAGCAAUCUCAUUCUCAAAAUCAUACAAAAUCAACUCACCAUCCCCCUUCUCAAUGAGAAGAAAAUUCUUGCCAUUGCCAUUACUCGAAUUCAUCAUCUCACAGACAGGCUUCAAGUGCACAAAAGCAUAAUUAUCAAAAUUAAUCAAAGCUCGACGUCCGAUCACAAACAUCCUCGUCCAAGACUCCCUCGCACCAAAAUCCUUCAUCGUCCAAAUCUCAACUCUAUCCUCUCUCCACAUAUGAAACAUGGCAAAUUCUCCGCGAAACACACCCACUUCAAUCUGACACUUGUCAUGAGAAUCCUUGUAUUCCGGGCGGUGAAUCUCCUUGAACUCUUCUCUGUUCAUGUCAAAAGCAACAACGAGAACAGUCAUCCCUCUUCCGAGCCCUCGAGACGCUUUCCAUAUAAGACAUUCAUUGAAGCACACCGCAGCUCGAGAGCUGAUAUGAUAUGGGAUGCCUCCAUUAAUCUUCUUCCAUUUAUCGCUAGCCAGAGAAUAAACCCUAGCUUCGCAUUCAUAGGAGUCGAUGUCAACAAAAGGCUUGUCAUAAAGGUAGAUGGAUCUUAUCACCUUGUAAUCAUCAUCUGCUUGAUGGUAACCAAACCCCAAUGAAGUGAAACAUGUAGUUUCAAUUGUGGGAACAUCAAAUUCUGGCACUGGAAGCUUUUUGUACUUUCUUGUUGAGGGAUUGAAAAGAAAUAUAUCUUCAUUGCAUCUUUGAUCGGAGAUGCAAAGCAGGCCAUUGCAAGAACCUGAAAUCUCAACUUUUUCGAGAGACAAGGCGAAGGGUACUUGGAGUUUUCGAGCUCUGAUUAAUUUUUUAUCAUUGAUUAUCUCGACACCAAAAAGCUUGAAUUCAUUCUUCAGGAUGAGUUUUGGGUCGGACUGAUGAAUUGCUCUGUUGACAUGUUUCUUAAUGAAUAUUUUAUUGUGAACAAGUGCAUACAUGGAUUUUGACACACAUUUGAAUCGAAUAAGAGACUUGACGGGGAGUCUAGUGAAGAUAUCGAUGAUUAUAUCGGUAGGUAAAUUAGCUGAGACAUGAGGGAAAGUUGAAAGAUUGGUGGUUAUAGCACUCGACAGGCUACCCAUUUCGGUGUUUCUUUAAUUUUGCUGCAAGCCAUUUCUCAUCGGAAACUAUAUACAUAUAUACAGGCAAUUAGAGUUUUGGGCUGUACAAUACUAAUGAGAAAUGUACAGGUGGCUUUUGGUGUAUAUUUAAUUGAAAAUCUGGGAUAUAUACAAUGAAAUGAAGAAUAUCUAGAAAGAUUUGGUUACGGUGAAUCCAAGAUUUAAUGUCAUUAAUGCGGGUAGUGACAGUUAUCCACUAGAAAGCAAUGAUUGGGAGUCCCUCCUUUCCACUCUCUUUUAAGUUUUACCAUUUUAACAAUCUUUUUUUGUUUACUUAGUCUGUUUUACAAAUCUUGAUUUUAAUGAUAACCAAUAAUGUGGUAAGGAUAAUAUAGAAAAAUCACUUUUGAAACUCAUUAGUUAUUGAAAAUAAAAAAAAUCAUUCAUGUGAGAUCAACCGCAAAAAAUUUAUAGAUAUAUUCAUCAAGUUGAGACUCAAAUGUGAAAAAUAUUAGUUUAAAUAAUGUUUCAUUUUUAUAAUCCUCGAAAAGUUAGUUUGUUGGAUUUAUUCAUGGUCAUGCAUUUGAAAGCUCAAACUUGUUAUGAUCAUGACAUUCAAAUUAAUAUUUGUUCCCACGAAGUAUGUUUCCUGUACUUGAAGAAAAAUAGAAACUAAAUGUUUUAUAAAAUUGAAUUUCUUCUAAGUAUAUGUGUUGAUUAAUUUGAAAAAGUGUUGAAAAGUUUUGAAGCAUCAAAAAAUAUGGAAAGUUUAUUUAAUCUUAAUGCUAUUUUUGAAACUAUGGAAAAGGACCCAUUUGAUAAUAUUUUAAAACUUUUUAAGUACUUUAAUAAUCAUAAAAAAUUAGGUCAAAUCAAUAUUAAGAAAAGCCGAAAGCGGCUGGCCACUUAUAGAAAGUGGUAGUUAACUAGUUUGCUUUCCAAAGGCAAAGUUGUGAGUCUGUUUGGACAAAGUGGCUAGUUGAUUUGCUUAAAAGUCCCCAACAAUAAUAUGCCAUGUUAGGAAAGUGGCUAGCCGGGCUAAAUCGGCUAGCUGAUUUCGUGUUGAUUUUGAGUCUUAUGUCUUUAAUGGUUAGUUUUCUGAAAUUUUUAUGUAAACCCAACUUGAAAUCUUAUUCUAAAGUUGGUGUGAUCUAAAACUUGAUAUUUCUAAAUACUUUUGAACUCUCACCUACUUAUCUAUAUAAAUUCAUAUAUACUUGAGGCAUCACUUAUUUUAAGGUAUCACUUAUUUAUAUACUCUCAGAAGUGUUCUUUAUAAACUUUAUUGUAAUCUUUUAAUUAAUUGUAAUUGUGGGAAAUAUUUGGAUGAAGAGGUGCUGAAUCAUUAAGUUUGUAUUAUUUGAAAGCAUGAAUAUAGGCGAGUUUACAGAAUUACGUAAAAAUAUGUGCUUGUUUCCUCUACCCUUAUCUAUUUAGUUCACUUGUUAUGUUUGUUGUUAUUAGAUUUUGGCACUUAGCGUCGUCGAUUAUGGUUUUUAUUGUUGAUAAAAUUUUAAAACUUAAUUCACCCUCCUUUGAGGUUGUUUAGCUAAAAUUUCAUUUUUUUUUCUCAAUUAGUAAAUAUUUUGUUGUUUCAUUAUUUAAUUCAUGUUUUAAGCCUCUUCGUGUGUGUACGGUAUUUUUUCUUUUCACCCCUUGGAGCAGAUAUUUGGUAAACUUCAAUAGCUCCCGACAAGCAUUAAACCAAACAUUAAGGUCGUGACAAGACUUCUUAUAAUGGAUUUAGUCGUACUAAAGAAAAUCACAGUCUACUUUAAAUGGUGUGUUUGGUAUUCCUCAUAAUAUGAGCCUGCAUUGCAUCAUGCAAUUGAAUCUCAUGUCUGGCUGCACCAAUUUACUGCAUUAUUUAUUUUUUAUAUUAUAAUAAAUAAAAGUAAAUUUUAUAAUUUGAUAUUAUAUUAUGAUAUAAUGGUAUAUGAUAUUAAUUUUUAUUUCUUUUAUUUUUAGAUUAUAAUAAUUAGUAUAAAUUAAUAAAUGAAAAAUUGACUUUUUUUAAUAAGUUAAUAUAACGAAUAAUAAAUACUUAAGUAUUAAUAAAUUUAAAUAAUAUUAACUUAAAAGUUAAUAGUAAUAUACAUAGUGAUAUAAAAUAUUAUUUCAUAUACUACAAUCCAUAUUGCACCAAACAUGAUAUUACGUUAUAGCUUAAUACACUCUAAUGAAAUAAACCAUAAUAUAAUUAAUAUUAUGGUUUUCUUUUAAGUUAAUAUAGCUUAAUACAGGAUUUUACAUGCACAUGUACAGAGAUGUUAAUCUGUAGCCAUGCCAACUAUAGAGAACCAAUUUAGUAAUAAUUCUGAUUUCUUCAAUUGACUAUAUACACAAAACAUGUUGGAUUGACUUAAUAUAACACUACCAGCCUCGAGGUUUGAUCUAAUGAGACGUACCCUCUGUUAACAACACAUUCUAAAGUUUCUAGUAGCUGACACAGAGAUUCAAAUUUACCCUCACUCUUCAAAACCCUGAUCACCAUUCCCUCCUCACCUCUAUUCUAAUCUGUGCUGCCCCCAUAAUUUUUGUUCACCAUCCAUCUUUACCACAACAUCUAUAAUCAGAGUCUACAUUAAUCGUAACAAUUAGUUCGGUCAAGCCUAUUAAUCACAACAGCGAUUACCCACCGUGCCCCUUCCACCAUUACCCACUGUCAGAUCUCCAUUAACAAGCCCCCCUUCCACCACCUUCGCCCUUCUUCCCUCCCCCCCCAACUUAUUUUACUCCCAAAAAGAAGAUAAAGAAGAAGAAGAAGAAAAUAGAAAAAUACCAAUAUUUUUUACUCUUAUCCUCUCUAAUCUUGUAACCCACAGCACGAUUAAUACUUAAUUAAAAUUGGUGGCCAUGGUUAACUUAGUUGAUAUGACGAGAGAGAUAACUAGUUAUGAACAUGAUCAAAGAGUUCCAUGAUUUAAGGUCCAAUUAAGAUAAUGGGGGCAAUGAGGUUGCUUCGGUGACGCGGUGACAUGUCAUUCUAAAUGAUGGGAUAUUUAUCAAAGCCUUAGAAAGGAAAAGAAAAAGAAUUCUGCACACAGAUAAAGGUUGAAAAAGUCUAUUAGCGGCCACGUGGCAGCACAGAGCUGUUAAAAAAUAAUAAUAACAAUAACAAUAACAAUAAUAUUUCAGAGGGGUUUUUGAUUAUGAUGUCAUGAGUUUCUGCUGCCUCACAAAUGGCCAAUUAACAGUAAGGGGCAACUUAUAAGCCUCUUAAAAAAAGGGCAACUUAUAAGAAUCUUAAAGUCAGAGUUAAGUGCAAUUUCUAGAACAUAGGGCGCUAUGAGUAACUAGGAUGAAAUAUCAGCCAAAGAGCUAUAUAUGUAAAAUCACAGCAGGAGCGCUGUGUAAAACUACCCAACAUAUGCACGCAUACUGACCCAAACCAUCCUACCUAGUAUAUCAACAUGUCUUCAACCAUGUCAUUUAUUAUGUUGUCGUAUCUAUUAGAGUUUAAAACUAUUUGCCAAAUAAAUAAUAGUCCAGAUUCAAUGUGCAUAUAAUAUUCAAAUAUCCAUACACGUUGCAAUGCAGAAUAGGGUAACUAUAAGUCCGGAAAAGGGCAAACAGACAACUUUAAUGGAACCCAGUUGAAAAAUGCAUGCAUCAAAAGCCAGCGGAAACUUACCAUGAUUAGGAUAGAAACUUCUACGGUCAUUAGGGCAUGGCACAAAAAGAGCAUUUUGUGGAUUAAAUAAAGCUUCGCAUACCAAGAAAAACCAUUCCCUUUAAACACCGGGACCAGUAGCUUCCUCAUUUUUGAAUUCCAAAAAUAAACCACCACGCAGUGCCUCUGGUUCCGCACGUGCUAUGUACUCAAAUGAUUCUGCCAACAACUGAGACCUAUCAAUAAGCAUCUCACGCAGCUCCUCAUAGUCUUCCUUUACAUCCGGAAACAUCAUCAUGACCAGAUACUUCCUGGAAUCAAAAGUAGUCACGUCCUUAUGCUCAAGCUGAAGGAGAAGAUAACUAUUAAAUUGAAAACUCCAAAAACAGAAAUU